Molecule: ribosomal RNA, 253 nt
Filed under: uncultured bacterium
Lineage: Bacteria
Description: partial 16S ribosomal RNA
Rfam family: Bacterial small subunit ribosomal RNA
Source: RNAcentral
UACGAAGGGGGCUAGCGUUGCUCGGAAUUACUGGGCGUAAAGGGCGCGUAGGCGGAUAGUUUAGUCAGAGGUGAAAGCCCAGGGCUCAACCUUGGAACUGCCUUUGAUACUGGCUAUCUUGAGUUCGGGAGAGGUGAGUGGAAUGCCGAGUGUAGAGGUGAAAUUCGUAGAUAUUCGGCGGAACACCAGUGGCGAAGGCGACUCACUGGCCCGAUACUGACGCUGAGGUGCGAAAGUGUGGGGAUCAAGCAGG